CCUACGGGUGGCAGCAGUGAGGAAUAUUGGUCAAUGGGCGAGAGCCUGAACCAGCCAAGUCGCGUGAGGGAGUACUGCCCUAUGGGUUGUAAACCUCUUUUGUCGGGGAGCAAAAGCCGGACGUGUCCGGCUGUGAGAGUACCCGAAGAAAAAGCAUCGGCUAACUCCGUGCCAGCAGCCGCGGUAAGACGGGGGAUGCGAGCGUUAUCCGGAUUUAUUGGGUUUAAAGGGUUCGCAGGCGGAUUUUUAAGUCAGCGGUAAAAUCGUGGGGCUCAACCCCAUCCAGCCGUUGAAACUGGGGAUCUAGAGUGUGCGAGAGGUAUGCGGAAUGCGUGGUGUAGCGGUGAAAUGCAUAGAUAUCACGCAGAACCCCGAUUGCGAAGGCAGCAUACCGGUGCACAACUGACGCUCAGGCACGAAAGCGUGGGUAUCGAACAGGAUUAGAUACCCCAGUAGUC
This 458-nucleotide ribosomal RNA is filed under the name uncultured bacterium. RNAcentral's name for it is "partial 16S ribosomal RNA". It matches the Rfam family "Bacterial small subunit ribosomal RNA", at positions 338 to 795 of the family's 1533-position model. The record is from RNAcentral.